CAACCUUUGCGUGGGAAGUGGUGUACGCACAUUUUCAGCCCCGUUUUGUGCGUACGCCACGUUUAUAAAUGAGACCCUUGGAUGGUGGAGGGAUCAU
Etheostoma spectabile (orangethroat darter) is the source of this 97-nucleotide long non-coding RNA. RefSeq lists it as uncharacterized. The record is from RefSeq and is a predicted model, not a curated record. Lineage: Eukaryota; Metazoa; Chordata; Actinopteri; Perciformes; Percidae. The transcript is spliced from 3 exons.